UACAGAGGGGGCAAGCGUUGUUCGGAAUUACUGGGCGUAAAGGGCGCGUAGGCGGCCUGUUAAGUCGAACGUGAAAUCCCCGGGCUCAACCCGGGAACUGCGUCCGAUACUGGAUGGCUUGAAUUCGGGAGAGGGAUGCAGAAUUCCAGGUGUAGCGGUGAAAUGCGUAGAUAUCUGGAGGAAUACCGGUGGCGAAGGCGGCUCACUGGACCGGAACUGACGCUGAGGCGCGAAAGCGUGGGGAGCAAACGGG
This 253-nucleotide ribosomal RNA is filed under the name uncultured bacterium. Its description in RNAcentral is "partial 16S ribosomal RNA". It matches the Rfam family "Bacterial small subunit ribosomal RNA", at positions 524 to 776 of the family's 1533-position model. The record is from RNAcentral.